UUAUUAUUAUUAUUAUUGCUAUUAGAAUACUAAAUUUAUACAACUUGGAAAAUAUUCAAUUUCCUACUAAAUGACACUUGUUAAUGUCAUAUACAUGGAAAAAUUUGUCUGUCAUUUAUUUUGUGUCGCAAACUUUGAUGUGUGUAGUAGAUAAGUACGACAUGCAUUAUGAAUAUGUGCGGUUAAACAAAUGAAUUUGUCGCACCUGAGAUUUUUGAGUAAUAGCUAAAGCGAAAUCUUCGUCGGGUGCAGUAUCCUCAGGGAUCAUAUUGGCAUCCCCAGGUAUAGUACCGUAUCGAAUGGUAUCGUUAAUCGCUUUGGGUGGACCUCCUAUGAAACCUGAACAAUUACCGCCUCUAGUAAUUUCACUACCAUACCUUUUUUCAAGGAUGUUCCUCGCGUCAGGUGCCUCGUCAUAAAGCUGGAAAGUAGCUGCAUACUUGUUUUUCGAACGACUUCUUGAUUUUCACCGUGAUACUCUCACCGUGGCGUCCUAUUCCGUCCGUCACUUUUAUUCUAAUAAAAUCAUCGAUUAAAGCCCUCGAACAGAAACAGCUAGGAAUGUUUUGACAAA
Molecule: unclassified non-coding RNA, 574 nt
Filed under: Bombus terrestris (buff-tailed bumblebee)
Lineage: Eukaryota; Metazoa; Arthropoda; Insecta; Hymenoptera; Apidae
Description: misc RNA ENSBTSG00005026928.1
Source: RNAcentral